CUGCUGCAGAUCCUAGUAGCCCUGGCCUGUCUGUGUGGUAACCACUGGGCGACGGGUGGUGGUGACGGAGCUUGGCGUAGCUGAGAGCAGCGGAGACGCUGUCUGGUCUGGACCUGAGAGCUAUUGACAUCUGGAAAAGGGAUUCAGAAGGAGGGGUGUCAUUAUUUGGGCUGGAUGAAUUCUCAAAUCAUGUUUAAGGAAACUCAUGUUUCUUUAAGAGGCUUUUGGUUGUCUUUCAUUAUAGAUUCAUGAAUAGGCUGAGCAGUUGUAUUUGGAAUUAAAUUAGACUUCCACCAGUGAAAAAGCAACUGGCUGACAAGGCAGUGAUCAUCUUAUUCCUGGGCCUCUCACUUCAGUGACUUCCUAAGAUGAAGACCCAGGAAGGUCGCAUGACACCUGAAUGUAAUCUGGUUUGAUUAAAUCUGAUGACAGCCAAAUUAUCAUGUUGUUCCAAUUAGGCAGGUGAAGAAAAUUAAAGUCUUUCUUCUUUUGACUUUGCUUUGAAUGACUCUUGCCAAUACACAAGGUAUUAAUGUUGGAAGUGUGGAACUUCAGAGUGGAUGAAUUAGAGCUCACACAAAAGGAAGACACAAUUUAAUAAGUUUGUCAAGGACAAAAAGAACAAAAGAGAAGGCAGACUGUCUUUGUAAUGCUACCAAGUCAUUGUCUAAGAAAGCUGAAGUUCUCAGAUCUUUCAGAGAAACUGGUGAUAAGAGACACUUCUUUUAACUUUGUAGCAUCUGCAGUAUGAAUUAG
Long non-coding RNA from Neopelma chrysocephalum (saffron-crested tyrant-manakin), 756 nucleotides. RefSeq lists it as uncharacterized. The transcript is spliced from 3 exons. The record is from RefSeq and is a predicted model, not a curated record. Lineage: Eukaryota; Metazoa; Chordata; Aves; Passeriformes; Pipridae.